CCGGGGCUGACAGCCCGGCCCAGCCCCCCGCCCGCACCCGAGCGCGCCGCGGAGCUGUCACCGGCCGCUGCCCUUCUCGGCGCCCUAGGAUUAUCCUCCCCGGAUCCGCGCGCUGCCCCGGCGCGGGGGAGGGGGCCGAGCCGCGGCCGCGGGUACUCACCCCGCCCCAGGAGCGGCGCCUCCCGCCGCAGGAUGCGCGGACCCGGCCGCCCAAGGAAGCCGCGCCGGGUGGGUGUGUGCGGCCGCGCGCGGACCCGGUGCCCCGGGGCGAGAUGCCUCCAGCCCCAGCCCGGCCCCCCCGCCCGCAGCUCCGGGGUCCCCGCGCCCGCCGCUCGUGAGCGCAGGAGCCUGUACCCGCCCGCCGCCGCCGCCGCCGCCGCCGCCUCCGCCAGCGCUGCCGCGUCCCUCUAGCGAUCCGCGCCGCGUUCCCAUCCCCGCCCCCACCUCAGCUGUGGCUGCUCCAACGAGUCAGGUGACGGCGGCGGACUAACCCGGGCGAGCUCUCCGCCGAGCGCCUCGCGGCCCCCUCCCAGCUACUCACCCGCGCCCCCCCCCCCCCCCGCCCCGGGGACCGCCGGCUUACAGGCAAGGGGGCGCCGCGCGCGAGCAUCCCCGGCCGGCGCGAGACGAGAAGGAGGAGGCGGGCUGGCAGGGAGGCCGACGCCCACCAGCCAACCCUCCGCCGGCGAGACCCGCACCCGGCGCGCAGUGCGUGCGCGCGCACCCAGCACACCUGCCCGGCUGCUGCGGGCUCCGUGCAGGGCGGCGGGGGCGUGGGAGCUCGGCUGCCCGGGCUCGCGGGGGCCGCGGGGAAGGCCCGGGGCGGCCAGGGCGUCGUCGCGCGCGGCCCGGCAAAGCGCAGCCCUCGCUCCUCGACGUUCUGUCUCUGACUCGGAGGCAGCGGCGGCCGGGAAGGGCAGGGCGAUCUAAACGUCAGACCCCUCGGGCCAACCUCGCCGUUACCUGUGCCUCCGCCUCGAGGCCUUGGAGCUCCUCUACUUGUUUCAGUUACGCUUGGAAGCCGGGGUGGGCAGAAACUUCAAGAAGAACAGCACCUCGCAGGAUUAUUUGA
RNAcentral lists this long non-coding RNA (1072 nucleotides) under Canis lupus familiaris (dog). RNAcentral's name for it is "lncRNA (ENSCAFG00040007265.1)". Lineage: Eukaryota; Metazoa; Chordata; Mammalia; Carnivora; Canidae. The record is from RNAcentral.